GCAGCAUGUGGGUUAGCAUGAAGCCUCGCUAAUCCUUCCCAGUUGACUGUGUACUGGAUGCAUUAUUUGACUGUUCAAUCAUCUGUCAGUUUCCCACUUCAACAGUUGACUAAGGACAAUAAACUGUUGAAUGGCUCUCAUCUCUGGUCCUCGUACUUGAACUGGUGUGCCAAUGCAGAAGCUCUAUACAUUAUCCAGCUUCCACAACUGCAAGUUUCUACAGGAGUCUGGGAUGGAUGCCUGCAGCGAAGGCAGGAGACCUCUGAAUGCCAGCAAUGUGGCUGAAGAUCAGGACAGGAGUCUGCUGGCUGGAGUGCAGGACCAGAAACCACUGGAGAUCUAAAUAGACUGGCAACCGGGUAGCAGGACUGGGGACCUUCAGGACAGCUGGACUGGAAUCCUGCAAGUGAACCGGUGGAGCCAAGAAAACCGGGAAAAAGUAGUAACACGGGAAGCAUGUGCAAUUUGUAAUUUCUCAAAAGACUGAGAAAUUGCUUUUACAUAUGAUGUGGACAAGCGACUAGAUGAUGUGGAGGUUGAACAAGUAUAAUUUAAAUUCUGAUCUGAGAAAUGUAUCAAAGUGACUGAAAACAACUGUAUUCUAUAAUGAAAUACUGAUUUAUAUGAAAAUAUCAGUCACAUUUCAAGGAUAAAAGUUCAACAAAUGUACAUAAUGCUUCCUUUUGUUAGUGUUUUGUAGGUCAGUGUGUUGUGAGUGUAUGCUUUCUAAGUGAGAAUUGUUGCAAGUGUCUUGUUUGAACGAGUCCAAUUUGAGACUUGUACGAAGUGUUUUGGUGGUUUGAGUGACUUUUGGAGGCAAGAUUAACUAUUUGGCCAGGAUGCAUGUUGGUAAUGCAGACUGUGAAGAGUUUUGAAAACGUGGCUUCAGUUGUGACCAUUGCAUCUUAGCAAUUGAGAAAUCUGUAAUUCUAAUGUACAAUUUAUACGUUUUUAGAGAUUGCUCUCUCAAUCAUUUCAGCAUGUAUUGUGUAGACCCAACAGACAGAGCAUUUGAAAAUUAAAACUAAAAUUGGAAUUUUUUAUUAGUGUAAUUUCCUUUAAAUAUAUUGUGGAAUAAUAAAUCUACAUUA
Long non-coding RNA from Micropterus dolomieu (smallmouth bass), 1091 nucleotides. RefSeq lists it as uncharacterized. The record is from RefSeq and is a predicted model, not a curated record. The transcript has 3 exons. Lineage: Eukaryota; Metazoa; Chordata; Actinopteri; Centrarchiformes; Centrarchidae.